GGGUGCAAGCGUUACUCGGAAAUCCACUGGGCGUAAAGAGCGUGUAGGCGGGUAUAUAAGUCAGAAGUGAAAAUCCAAUAGCUUAACUAUUGAACUGCUUUUGAAACUGUAUACCUAGAAUGUGGGAGAGGUAGAUGGAAUUUCUGGUGUAGGGGUAAAAUCCGUAGAGAUCAGAAGGAAUACCGAUUGCGAAGGCGAUCUACUGGAACAUUAUUGACGCUGAGACGCGAAAGCGUGGGGAGCAAACAGGAUUAGAUACCCUGGUAGUCCACGCCCUAAACGAUGCACACUAGUUGUUGUGAGGCUCGACCUUGCAGUAAUGCAGUUAACACAUUAAGUGUGCCGCCUGGGGAGUACGGUCGCAAGAUUAAAACUCAAAGGAAUUGACGGGGA
RNAcentral lists this ribosomal RNA (393 nucleotides) under uncultured Campylobacterota bacterium. RNAcentral's name for it is "bacterial SSU rRNA". It matches the Rfam family "Bacterial small subunit ribosomal RNA", at positions 530 to 919 of the family's 1533-position model. The record is from RNAcentral. Lineage: Bacteria; Pseudomonadati; Campylobacterota.